RNAcentral lists this non-coding RNA (72 nucleotides) under unclassified sequences. The record is from RNAcentral.
GAUUAACAUAAACCAUACCUUCUCGUGGUGUUAAUUGUGAGUAAUUUUUUAUAAAAAUGAAACUAAAUGGUU